GGACAGAAGUAGCUUCCAUAUAUGUUUCUCCCACUUCUCUCUGGAAUGGGCAGGGGGAAGCAGACCCGGUACCCCCGGUACCGAUGCAGAUAGCGGCGUGUAAAUUCUGUUCUUUGCAAACCUAUGUAAUUCCGUGCCGAGUCGGUAAGUCGGGAAGUAUAGGGCAUACUGUCCCCAUGGUUGACAGUCCUUUAUGUAAUUUUUAGUUACUGGUCGGGUCAACGUUUCCACCUAUCUACUUCCAUCGUGUGUCCAUCUCUUUAUAGAUAUCAGUAUCAUAGACAAAAAAAAGCAAAAAAUAUUAGAUACAUCAGCCCAGCCGCAGGCUGUCAACAAGUGUGAUUGAUGUUGGGAAUUGUAAACAAUACCCUGAUACCAUCAUCAUCAUCAUUUUUAAUUCAAAUAUAUUGACAGUUCUGUUUCUGCGGAUAACGGGACACGUGAUCAAACCUUGUUGCAUUUAGAUGGAUUGUCCAAUGUUAAUUGGCAAUUUGAGAAAGCCAAGAAUUUAUUGGUAUCAGACGGAUGCGGAAAUCGUGAUUCGUAUAAUGCUUCACGACGUGGACGAUUACUUUCUUAGCGUAAGAACAGACGAGUUUGAAUUCAGCACGUCUGUAGACGGCGUCGAUUACUAUAUUUACCUGCAUCUUUUUGGUGCAAUCACUGCCGAGAAAACUAUCCAUAAAACAACUGGAAGAGAAGUCACAGUUUACCUUCCAAAAGUUCAAAAGUGGACUCCCUGGCCAAGGUUAAUUUAUUCAAGCAAAGCAUGUCCACAUAUUUUUGUGGACCUUGAUCACCUUGCCUCAAUCAAACCCAAAAAAGAGAUUGAUUGGAAUGAGAGAGAAGACUUUGCUACCUUCAAACGAAGACAUAAUAUAUCCUAUAUAAGGCCAGAUGUACCAUCUUCGGAUGAAGAUGAAUCUGCUGGAGAGGAAAACAAUAUGAUUUUCGAUUUUUAACAUCUCUUGAAGUGGAUUAAUAGAACUAGGUUCCAAAUCUCAUUCUAAUGAGGUGUGAAGAGCAAUCUAUUUGGAUUCAUUGAAGCAAACUAUUAAAAGAUAAAUUACGCAAAAUAAAACUUGUGACGAAUGUUUUUAAUCUGUGAUCUAAAAAAGUGUAUCGAUGCAAGAAGACAUUGCUAUCAGUGAAUCGACAAUGAAAAUAACUAAGAAAACAGAUAAGGGACAAUAAUACCAGAGACGCUUAUCUUAUAAACAAUUUAAUCCAAGAAAACUAGUUAGAUAUGGUAUUAAAUUUUAUAAAUUAUGUGAUUCAGAAUCGGGUUAUUGCUGUGACUCUAAAAAAAUACUCAGGUAGUGAUAAAAUAAAUUCUAAUGACAGUGAUUCUGAAAAUGUUGUUAAAGAGCUAUCACAGUCAGUGUUACGUAAAGGACAUAUUUUAUACUUAGACAAUUGGUACACUGCACCAAAACUGGUUAUAACUAAUUAACAGUAAAACUAAUGCUGUCGGAACAGUAGAUUUGAACAGAAAGAAUAUGCCAAAUGAUUUGGUUGAAGCAAAAUUAAAAAAAGAAGAAUGCAGAACGAAAAGCUGCAAUGGAAUACUGACAUAAAAAUAUAAAUAUAAACGAGACAUUUAUAUUAUUUCUACGAAACACGAAACAGCAGAAAUGGCUGCAUAAGGCAAAAAUCAAUUCAAUCCUACUUCAAAACCAAAAGGUGUCAUUGAGUACAACAAAGGAAUGAUUGGACUUGAUCGACAAGACCAAAUGCUAGUGUGCUUCUCUGUUAUGAAGGAAUAUGCAAAAGGAUACUGAACAGUUUUUUUUUACAUGCUUGAUAUUGAACUUUUGAACUCUUACAUUUUGUCCAACAAAGUAAAUACUAGAGAAAAACAGAGCCACUCAUGCUAAGUAUGAAAUUGAAAUAGUCGAGUCAUCAAUGAAAAAUGUGCCGUUACCAGAAUAUAAACGAUGAGGGUGAUUUUUGAAUGGAGUUUUACCCCAGAGACUCCACACGCAACAUUGGGGUCAUUUUUUCAAGAAUAUAGACCCAACACCAUCGAAAACAAAGCCAUAAAGAGCCUGUAAAGUUUGUACAAGAUAUAAGUAAAAAAACGUAGCGAAACAACAUAGGAGUGCAAAAGAUUUAAAGUUACAUUGGAUGUACCAAUAUGCUUCGAAAGUUACCAUACAAUUGAAGCUUAAUAACUUUCUGUUACAUGUUUUUUAAAAUGUUUAUAAUUUAAUAUAAGCAUUUAUUCAGGAAUUUAAAUAAAAUGUUGUUGAUUUAUUAAUCUUUCUUUUUCACUGAUGAAUUGUUUGUAAUUAUUUAUCAAACACCUUAAGAAAUUAAACCGGUUGUAUCUUACACAUGUUUACAUAUCAUGAGACGUAUGCAAUUGGCAUAACUUCGAACAUUUAUCCAAACUGUAAAAUGGCUCAACGUGCAACCGACCUUGCUGUUUAUUAUAGCAUAGGCGAUCAGAACUUAAAUUGUAGGGCAAGGGGUUAAAUAUCGAUUUGAUUGAAAUGUUUACAUGCCUGUAUAUCAGGCGGAACUGCACAUCAUGAACCACCCGCUUUACUCUUUGCCUUCAUCCUUUUGCACAACUCGAGGAACGCUUGAUUUUUCAAUAAUUUGAAUCUUUUGUCAGUAGAACUAGAUGCAUAUUGUGCAUUCUCUGAAAGCAACGCUAAUUAUAGAGAACCCUUAAUUUGCUGUUCUCGUUGAUCUGUUCAGUCUCAUGAUGGCGAAAGGGUUAAAAUAUUGGGUGAUACACGUAUUUAGGUAUCAUUGCUACUACAUCAAAUAGAAAUAAAAUCUGGAAUGUUGAAAUUGUCUGUUCGAUUAAAAUCUAACGUCAUUGCAUGUGAAAUCUCAUGCAAAGAAUAGUGAUGAAAAAUAAAUCAACCUAGGGCGAUCUUUGUUUAAAAAAAAAGGAAAAAGUACAAAAGUGUAUUUUGUAAUAUAAAGUCAAGAUUUUGCCGUACGCGUGAUUCAAUCAUGUUCGUACGAAUUACGUAUGUACAUACGAUUUACUCAGACCUAUAUACAUCUAUGCACGUAUUAAUUAUACGCGUUGAAUAGAAAUUGAGAUAAUAAUCAGUUUGAUGCGCUUUGUGUGAAAUAUUAUUAGUAUUUUACAGAAUAUCGUCUGCUUCGUUUUUUACUAUUAUUUACAAGAUUAAAGCGAACUCUACGCAGUUUACUUGUCUUACAAAUCACCUGCAGACUAGUCGGCACCUUGCUUAAUUCACCAGCACUCUGUACAUCACGAAUAAAACGAUAAUGAAAUUUUCUUCCUUCGUUCUGAAAUAGUGAAUCUUUUAGCGUACCCACAGCAACGAACGGCAAUCACCGUCGAAUUAAUUAUUGCUACAUAAAGCUAACGAGAAGAACGGCAUAGAUCAUAUCUACCACUGUCUACGAAUUCGUCUAUACCUUAGAUGUACGUAAAUUUGAACACACGGUUAAACGUUUACGGGUAAAGCGAAUUACCCGUUAAUCGUAUAGUCGUUGUACCUUCACUAUUAAGGCGGUCAGCCCAGUUAUUUGAACGAUAACUCGUUCCGGUUAGUCUAAUCAAUUACAAAUGUUAAAUUUCUAUAAUACAGCAUUUUUUAACAACCUUCCAGUGAAAGUCUUUGAUUUAUGUUUCCCACCCUAGUUUUUAUUUCCUUGAGGAUGUCCUCGGCCAGCUCAUCGACCGUGGUAUAG
This 3684-nucleotide unclassified non-coding RNA is filed under the name Neodiprion lecontei (redheaded pine sawfly). RNAcentral describes it as "putative protein PTGES3L, transcript variant X1". Lineage: Eukaryota; Metazoa; Arthropoda; Insecta; Hymenoptera; Diprionidae. The record is from RNAcentral.